Molecule: ribosomal RNA, 253 nt
Filed under: uncultured bacterium
Lineage: Bacteria
Description: partial 16S ribosomal RNA
Rfam family: Bacterial small subunit ribosomal RNA
Source: RNAcentral
UACGGAGGGAGCUAGCGUUGUUCGGAAUUACUGGGCGUAAAGCGCACGUAGGCGGCUACUCCAGUCAGAGGUGAAAGCCCGGGGCUCAACCCCGGAACGGCCUUUGAAACUAGGUAGCUAGAAUCUUGGAGAGGCGAGUGGAAUUCCGAGUGUAGAGGUGAAAUUCGUAGAUAUUCGGAAGAACACCAGUGGCGAAGGCGACUCGCAGGACAAGUAUUGACGCUGAGGUGCGAAAGCGUGGGGAGCAAACAGG